UACGGAGGGUGCAAGCGUUGUCCGGAUUUACUGGGCGUAAAGGGCGCGUAGGCGGCGCAACAAGUCACUUGUGAAAUCUCCGGGCUUAACUCGGAGCGGCCAAGUGAUACUGUCGUGCUAGAGUGCGGAAGGGGCUACUGGAAUUCUCGGUGUAGCGGUGAAAUGCGUAGAUAUCGAGAGGAACACCUGCGGCGAAGGCGGGUAGCUGGGCCGACACUGACGCUGAGGCGCGAAAGCUAGGGGAGCGAACGGG
Molecule: ribosomal RNA, 253 nt
Filed under: uncultured bacterium
Lineage: Bacteria
Description: partial 16S ribosomal RNA
Rfam family: Bacterial small subunit ribosomal RNA
Source: RNAcentral